AAAAAAAAAAAAAAAAAAAAAGGAGUUCUUACACCGUGACUGGACAAGCAGAUGGAACAGAAGUUUCAGAGAAAUUAUUGUAGGAAAUAUCUAUUGCACUGCAUACAAACAUUAGCCUGUAAACAAAAGCACAUUUUUGGAAUAAUUUUUUUUCCAAAACGUGAAUAAUGAAUGCAAAGUUGCCCAAAAAUUGCUGCAGCAAAUUAUUUCAAAAUAACAAAUAACGAAAUCAACAGAAGUUUAGAGGUAGAAUAUAAGAAAAACAAACUUACUAUCUAUGAUUUCUCUCAAGAAUCCACUUGGGGAUCGGUCCAGUUAGAAAGUUGCUUGUCAGAUACCUAUACAAUGAUCCGGUCAUUUUGUUAAAACACAUCCAGAGUAUUGCAAAAGAUUGUACAGAGGAAUGAAGGAAAUCUAAUUUGGAGUCUUAAUUAGAGAGGAUAGAGGAAAAAUAGAAGCCUUAAUGGAAACAUUAAUAAAAUUCCAUAUGGUAUUUAAUAAGUUCACAUUAUAUACAGAACCAAUAUCCACUGAAAGGCCCUCUAUAUGUAUAUGUGCCAGCUAGCUGCCCACAUGAACUUAGAAUGCAUACAUGCUCUCCAGGGCCACUAAUUCAAGAUAAUUUGUUGGUAGAUUUCCAGUCAAUCUGUUGAAACUAAGAUCUCUGCAAGACAACAUCUUUUAAUGAAUGAAAAAAGUAGUGCAGAUGUUAUCAUUGAGGAAAUAGUCUACAACAACCAUAAAUAGUUAAUCAAAAUGUGAAGUGUUGACUAUAAAUCUCAGAAAUGAAUCUCAAAAUACGAGUAGAACAGAGGAAUUCAAGAAAUGAGAGAUAAGGGAGCAGUAUAUCACAAGUCUUUCAGAGUUGCAAUAUGCGUUAUAUACUCUGGGAAAUUUCCAGUUAUAUUGCAGUUGCUCAAUAACCUGCAAUGCAAAUUAUCUUCAAAUCAGCUCAACUACUACGGUGAAAAUUAUUCUGUUUCAAGCAACAAAGUAGAAUAACUCACAAAUACUUUAAGUUUUUCAUGUUUCCUACGUAUGGAAAGUUAGAACCUUCCCCACCUAAGUCACUAAUCCUCCUGCAUGGUAUAGUAGAACAUUUACAUAAAAAUCUAUGAUGUGUAAUCAUAGACGAGAAACAUAAGUCUGUUAGGAAAGUAAAGAAGCACGACUCACAGUUGAGUUAAAUUAGUCAAGACAGAAAUGCUAGAGGGAAUGGGGCCUUCAAGGCCACUACCUUGGAUUGCUCUGUUAACAACAUUUUAAAUACUUUUAGAUUACACCUGAAAACUAGUGUUGAGUAGAUUUAAAAUUUUAUCAUUAAGAAAAGAAAUGUACAGCAUCUCAAGUCGUUUCCAACUCUGGAUAAAACUGGGUAUUUUUCCACUGAAAUUGUUACUGCUAAUCUUAAGUUCAGUUAAUUUGGUGAUUUUAGUGAGAGCCAGAGGUAACUCUCCAGUGAGAUUGUUGGCAUUAAGAAUGAGAUUCACCAAAUUAACCAAGUUUCCAAGCUCUACAGGAACAGUUCCAUAAAAGAAGUUGUUCUCUAUGCUCAAGUAUAUGAGCGACGUGAUGUUUCCCAAGUAACUUGGAAUGCGUCCUGUUAAGCGGUUCACUGUGAUUGACAGAUAUUCCAGCUUUGUGGAAGCCCAUUCAGGUGGUAUAUUCCCACUAAGGUAAUUACGAGUCAGAUCAAGUGUCUUGAGGAAAGGCAACUUCACAAUUGAUGCUGGAAGCACACCAGGAAGAUCUUGCCCUUUGAGAAAUAGUUUCUCCACAUGGCACACGCCAUCCAGGCCUUUGCAAUUGCAGAUGAGACUAUUGUUGUACCAUGGCAUGGCAUCUGGUUUUGGUGUCUGCCAGCUCGAGUGAUUACUGCAAGGGUCUACGCUGAAAUUCCAGUCUUCUUUUCCCACUUGUUUUGCAAUUUCGCGUAAAGCUUGCACUUCACCGUCUGCAAGAUGGCUAGAUUCAGCUUGUGCUUCAACCGUGCACAUUAGCCACAUAAGCAUAAGCAAACUAAAGGUAAUUCUGAAGAUUCCAGGAGCUCGAGCCUUCCUCUUCUUCAACCACUUCGUGUUGCUUGAGGCUUCUUCUGGAUGCAAGGACGAGCGAUCAAAGCAACUCAUCAUACCUACGAGUAGGGGGGAACACUGUUUAUUGAAAGUAAAGAUGGUUCCAGCGGAGGAAAAAAAGCUGCUCAAAUUAGAGAUUUAUUGUUCGACAGAAGUGUUGUUGAGUGAGUUAUAUAGGAAAUUCUACAACACUAUGCUCCAUGCUCCCUCAAUCAUGCAAAAGUAAAUCCUGCAUGAGGUAAGAAGGAGAUGGACUCAGUUAAUUGUUAGUAAUA
RNAcentral lists this unclassified non-coding RNA (2350 nucleotides) under Hevea brasiliensis (rubber tree). The record is from RNAcentral. Lineage: Eukaryota; Viridiplantae; Streptophyta; Magnoliopsida; Malpighiales; Euphorbiaceae.